CUCAAAUCAAACAAUGUUCACGGCAUCACAGAAUCUAACCAUUUAAAUCCAAAAUGGUUUCCAAUUAAAGACUUAAGGUCAUUAACUUCCCUGCAAGUGAUCUUCAAUCCUGUCCGGAAACAAGAUAAAAAGUGGAAGGUACUUGAACUUUGAUUGGAGUGGAUGUGAAGGACAUGGUCUGGCGAAUUAUGAGGCAGGCAAUCAAAAAUGACUUGGCUAAAGCGGAAAACACCAAACCAAAAUUUGGAGCAUAAAAACAUUGUGAUUGCACACAAACCAGAAGUAAAUGAUCUGCUGGUUGUCUUCCUGUGA
RNAcentral lists this long non-coding RNA (312 nucleotides) under Sinocyclocheilus grahami. RNAcentral describes it as "lncRNA (ENSSGRG00000027299.1)". Lineage: Eukaryota; Metazoa; Chordata; Actinopteri; Cypriniformes; Cyprinidae. The record is from RNAcentral.